Molecule: long non-coding RNA, 830 nt
Filed under: Homo sapiens (human)
Lineage: Eukaryota; Metazoa; Chordata; Mammalia; Primates; Hominidae
Description: long non-coding RNA NONHSAT172857.1
Source: RNAcentral
GCGAGUUCCUGGUUUCUGAGGUGGGAGAGCCAUCACUGGAGAGGUGGCAUUGGCGCCAGUACUCAGGCCAGAAGCCCCUUGUGCCCUGCUCUCAGAACACAGGCCCCAGACCAGGAAGGCAUUCUGCUAAAGAAGGGGACCCGAAACCUCAGCUACCAGCGCCGAUGGUUCAUCCUCCGAGGAAACCUCCUCUUCUACCUAGAACACUAGACCGACCAUGCACCCCUGAGCCUCAUCCUGUUAGAGAACUGCCAGGUGGAACCACACCUUAAGGCUGCAGAACCCUAUGCCUUUACCAUCCUGACCCCUGGGGUGGAGGGCACAGGUGGGCGGGCCUACAAGCUGGCUGCAGAAACCCAGGAAGAGCUGGAGACUUGGCUGUGGGCACUGGCUGGCGCGAGCUGGAGGCGGCUGGCUGGGCUGCUGUCCCCCCUCCCCCCCCACCAAAACCCAAUACUGGGAGCUGUGCCAGGCAACUGGCCAAGAACCCAUCUCAUCCCCAGAGGACAGUGGCUUUCUAGCCACUGUGAGUACCCCCUCCAGCUUCCAGGAGUUGCAUGAGCACUUUGGGAAGGAGAUCCGGGUGCUGCACGUGGUACAUAGAGAGCUCCAGGCAGCCAGUGACAAUGGAGACAGCAGAUCCCAGGCAAAGAUGGAGCAGGAGCUCAACCAGUGUCUGAUGAGUGACUGAGAGAUGGACCCAAAGCUAAGAGGUACCUACUUGCCAAGACAGCAGACUGCUUCAACAGAGACCCAGGUCCUGGCUCUGUCCCUCCCUCCCUCGUCCUUACCCCAUCCCCCCCUCAUCAAAUAACAAGGCAGAAAACAGG